GUAGGUGGCAAGCGUUGUCCGGAAUUAUUGGGCGUAAAGCGCGCGCAGGCGGUCCUUUAAGUCUGAUGUGAAAGCCCACGGCUCAACCGUGGAGGGUCAUUGGAAACUGGGGGACUUGAGUACAGAAGAGGAAAGCGGAAUUCCAAGUGUAGCGGUGAAAUGCGUAGAGAUUUGGAGGAACACCAGUGGCGAAGGCGGCUUUCUGGUCUGUAACUGACGCUGAGGCGCGAAAGCGUGGGGGGCAAACAGGAUUAGAUACCCUGGUAGUCCACGCCGUAAACGAUGAGUGCUAAGUGUUAGGGGUUUCCCGCCCCCCUUAGUGCUGCAGCUAACGCAUUAAGCACUCCGCCUGGGGGAGUACGGCCGCAAGGCUG
RNAcentral lists this ribosomal RNA (374 nucleotides) under uncultured organism. RNAcentral's name for it is "partial 16S ribosomal RNA". It matches the Rfam family "Bacterial small subunit ribosomal RNA", at positions 527 to 896 of the family's 1533-position model. The record is from RNAcentral.